Molecule: non-coding RNA, 120 nt
Organism: Ciona savignyi (Pacific transparent sea squirt)
Lineage: Eukaryota; Metazoa; Chordata; Ascidiacea; Phlebobranchia; Cionidae
Source: Rfam
GCUUAUCACCAUUCCAGAUUGAAUAUACCCGAUCUCGUCUGAUCUCGGAAGUCAAGCAAUCUCGGGCUUGGUUAGUACUUAGAUGGGUGACCGCUUGGGAAUACCAAGUGUGCUACAGCU